Molecule: long non-coding RNA, 1049 nt
Organism: Coffea arabica (coffee)
Lineage: Eukaryota; Viridiplantae; Streptophyta; Magnoliopsida; Gentianales; Rubiaceae
Source: RefSeq, a predicted model, not a curated record
CGCUCUCCCGCCACUCUCCAGCUCUCUGCUAUCAGAAAACUCUGUGGAAAUGCUCUAGCUGAGUAUAAAAUGGGUCCUGGAACGGAAGUUAGCCUCAGCAGAGUAAUGGUGUUCUAAGUCGUGCCCGAAAGGUGUUUGAAAAAAUGCUCAAUUGGCAAACCGUUGGUUUAUGUGUGAAGAAAUGGUCCUCCAAAAACUUGUACUGGGCUGAUAUUGGGAUCCAUUUUGGGUAAACAGAAGCAGAGGCUGGAAUGGUGGUUUCUACAUGAAACUGGGGAAAGCAAGCAAACACAGUGGCAGAAAUUUGGGCUAUAAUGCAGGAAAUGAAGCUGGCUUGGGAGAAGGGGUUCAGGAAAAUCUUCAUAGAAUCAGACUCACAAACUGGAAUGAGAUUAAUUGACGAAGUGCUUAUUAAUAGUCCACAUGUCAACCAAAUCAGAUUGGCCAGGAGUUGGGUAAGUCAAGGCUGGGAUUGCAGACUCAAUCAUGCAUGGAGGAGUGCAACAUGUGCAAGGACAACCUUGCCAAACUCAGCCUGGGAGCACUGCUGGAGGUGACUGUCCUGGAGAACCCAACCCCCCCCCCCCGGGGCAGGGGGGUCUUUGCAUAGCUUAUUAGGAUUUGAUGUAAUUAGUGUAGCAACACCACGUGUAGCUGCGGUGUAGAUGGGUUCAAACCAGCCUUUUGACCAAAAGAAAAAUGGAAGCAGAGGCUCCUAAUAUGAAAGUUUGCCAACAUACAACUGUUGUAGCUGUUCUUUUGAUUGUUUAUGGUCAAUAUUGCUAGUAUGUUGUGAACCCAUCAAUGUAGGAUGGGGUUUGCUGUGAUCUAAUAACGGUACCGUAUUAGAGAAGUAGGAAGACUUUUUGUGGGUGGGGUGUUAGGUGAUGGGGAUCAUGGAGUGGUGUGGGGAGAUGGGGCAUCAAGGAGAGAAAGAGGUGUGUGGGGAGAGAUGUUACCUCUUGAUUUUCCAUCCAAGUAGAAGAACAAAAAAUGUAAUCUUUUGCUCAGUUUCUACUGCUAGUAAUAAAUAAAUAGAUAUUACUUGA